This 1467-nucleotide ribosomal RNA is filed under the name Streptococcus thermophilus. RNAcentral describes it as "16S ribosomal RNA". It matches the Rfam family "Bacterial small subunit ribosomal RNA". Lineage: Bacteria; Bacillati; Bacillota; Bacilli; Lactobacillales; Streptococcaceae. The record is from RNAcentral.
UGGCGGGGUGCCUAAUACAUUGCAAGUAGAACGCUGAAGAGAGGAGCUUGCUCUUCUUGGAUGAGUUGCGAACGGGUGAGUAACGCGUAGGUAACCUGCCUUGUAGCGGGGGAUAACUAUUGGAAACGAUAGCUAAUACCGCAUAACAAUGGAUGACACAUGUCAUUUAUUUGAAAGGGGCAAUUGCUCCACUACAAGAUGGACCUGCGUUGUAUUAGCUAGUAGGUGAGGUAAUGGCUCACCUAGGCGACGAUACAUAGCCGACCUGAGAGGGUGAUCGGCCACACUGGGACUGAGACACGGCCCAGACUCCUACGGGAGGCAGCAGUAGGGAAUCUUCGGCAAUGGGGGCAACCCUGACCGAGCAACGCCGCGUGAGUGAAGAAGGUUUUCGGAUCGUAAAGCUCUGUUGUAAGUCAAGAACGGGUGUGAGAGUGGAAAGUUCACACUGUGACGGUAGCUUACCAGAAAGGGACGGCUAACUACGUGCCAGCAGCCGCGGUAAUACGUAGGUCCCGAGCGUUGUCCGGAUUUAUUGGGCGUAAAGCGAGCGCAGGCGGUUUGAUAAGUCUGAAGUUAAAGGCUGUGGCUCAACCAUAGUUCGCUUUGGAAACUGUCAAACUUGAGUGCAGAAGGGGAGAGUGGAAUUCCAUGUGUAGCGGUGAAAUGCGUAGAUAUAUGGAGGAACACCGGUGGCGAAAGCGGCUCUCUGGUCUGUAACUGACGCUGAGGCUCGAAAGCGUGGGGAGCGAACAGGAUUAGAUACCCUGGUAGUCCACGCCGUAAACGAUGAGUGCUAGGUGUUGGAUCCUUUCCGGGAUUCAGUGCCGCAGCUAACGCAUUAAGCACUCCGCCUGGGGAGUACGACCGCAAGGUUGAAACUCAAAGGAAUUGACGGGGGCCCGCACAAGCGGUGGAGCAUGUGGUUUAAUUCGAAGCAACGCGAAGAACCUUACCAGGUCUUGACAUCCCGAUGCUAUUUCUAGAGAUAGAAAGUUACUUCGGUACAUCGGUGACAGGUGGUGCAUGGUUGUCGUCAGCUCGUGUCGUGAGAUGUUGGGUUAAGUCCCGCAACGAGCGCAACCCCUAUUGUUAGUUGCCAUCAUUCAGUUGGGCACUCUAGCGAGACUGCCGGUAAUAAACCGGAGGAAGGUGGGGAUGACGUCAAAUCAUCAUGCCCCUUAUGACCUGGGCUACACACGUGCUACAAUGGUUGGUACAACGAGUUGCGAGUCGGUGACGGCGAGCUAAUCUCUUAAAGCCAAUCUCAGUUCGGAUUGUAGGCUGCAACUCGCCUACAUGAAGUCGGAAUCGCUAGUAAUCGCGGAUCAGCACGCCGCGGUGAAUACGUUCCCGGGCCUUGUACACACCGCCCGUCACACCACGAGAGUUUGUAACACCCGAAGUCGGUGAGGUAACCUUUUGGAGCCAGCCGCCUAAGGUGGGACAGAUGAUUGGGGUGAAGUC